Molecule: small nucleolar RNA, 81 nt
Organism: Varanus komodoensis (Komodo dragon)
Lineage: Eukaryota; Metazoa; Chordata; Lepidosauria; Squamata; Varanidae
Source: Ensembl
UCUAGCAGUGAUGAUGCUCUUGCCCUCACUGAAGUUCUCUGAUGAGAACUUUUUGUAAGUACUCAUUUGCUCUGAGCUGGA